CCAGAGAGAGAAAGAGAGAGAUGGUGAAUUGUACGCGGAUGGGAUCCAGCAGUGUUUAUACUUGCAACUGCUACUACUAUUACUUCACCUCCUGGUUUUGAUUCAUUGAAACUCACAUUCCAUUUCUCACUGAUUGUUCAGUGGGACACAGAAUCAUUUCAGUGUUAGUUCAUUGCUUGGUUUCUUUUGGGUUUGUUUAAGAAGCUUGAUGGGUUCCAGAUACCCAUCUCAUCAACUCAGCAAUGGCCUUUUUGUCUCGGGCAGGCCAGAGCAACCAAAAGAAAGAACUCCAACAAUGAGUUCAACAGCUAUGCCUUAUACUGGUGGUGAUAUUAAGAAAUCAGGAGAAUUAGGAAAAAUGUUUGAUAUUCCUAUGGAUGGUUCUAAAUCUAGGAAAUCUGGCCCAAUACCUAAUGCUCCUUCAAGAAGUGGAUCAUUUGCUGGGGCUUCUUCACAUUCAGGGUCACUGAUGGCCAAUGCUGCUCCUCGUGCUGGGUAUACCAUGUCUGGUCCUUUAUCUUCUGGAGGCAUAUCUGGUUCAGCUUCAUUAAAGAAGUCAAGUUCUGGACCACUGAAUAAACAUGGGGAUCCUGUGAAGAAGUCCUCUGGUCCGCAAUCUGGUGGAGUAACACGACAAAAUUCUGGGCCUCUCCAACCAGUUCUACCUGCAACUGGUCUCAUAACAUCAGGCCCUUUAAAUUCUGCUGGGUUUCCUCGGAAAGUAUCAGGCCCUUUGGAAUUUAUGGGGUCUGGGAAAAUUAACAGCUUCUCCAUUUCUCACAACCCAGCAGUGACUGCUCUUAGUCAAGAUGAUGACUAUUCUUUCAUGAGGAGCUUUCCAAAGACGGUAUUAUGGUUGGUGAUUCUGAUAUUUGUGAUGGGAUUCCUUGCUGGUGGUUUUAUUCUUGGAGCAGUCAACAAUGCCAUUCUCCUUAUUGUUGUUGUGGUCCUUUUUGGAGCAGUUGCUGCAUUACUUGUUUGGAAUAUGUUUUGGGGGAGAAAGGCUAUCAUAGAAUUCAUUGCUUGUUAUCCUGAUGCUGAUCUUAGAACUGCAAAGAAUGGGCAAUAUGUGAAAGUCUCUGGGGUAUGUAAUAGAUGCUUUUAUAAUACAAGUGCAUGUGUGUGUAUAUUCUUAUGCCAUUUUUUUAAAUGGAUGCAGAUUGGGAUCAUCUUUUCCCUUUUUUGUUAUCAUUUUGCAUUGCUAUUGCACAUGCUUGAAGUUGUUCUGUUAGUUUAAGUGGUUCAGAGACCUACAAGAAAAUCAUAUCCUACUGUAACCACUCUUUAUGCGCAUGGUGUUGUACAGAAACUUCUUGAACACACCCAGAUAUACAUGAUGCUUUUAUGACGUCUCCACAAUUCCAUUGUCUUGAAAACCAUUUUACAUGUACCAGAUGCACCCUUAAUUGUGAGGACGUAAGCUUUUCUUAGUUUAAGAUACUAUUUUAAGAGAAUGAUAGCAUGGAAAAACUGAAUAAAAAUUUAUAGUCAGAUUUGUCAUGUAUGCUUGACUGAAUUAGGGUAAAGUUAUUCCUUUCAAGACUAUUUUGUCAAGCUAUUCCUCACUGCACUAUGUCCCACUUCUUUGGACUAGAUUGUGGUAGUUACGCAAGCCUUCCUAGGUCUAGGGUGAGUAGCAGAAAACUCUGAAGAGUGGAGAAAUGUUUAUCUCCAUUUGGAAUGGAGGGACUGAUUGUUAGUAUUAUUAUUUAUUGCAGCAGGGCAUUGUUACUAUGCUGCUUAAAGGGAUUGCCUAUGGAGACUACUUUAGUCUUCUUAACCUGUAAGGAAGUGUGAUUACUUAUAGUACAGGUCUUGGGGACUUAGAUAUGUUCUCAAAAUUUUCCAGGAGAUGGCAGCGGCAUUGAGUUUUGGCAUGAUAUUUGAUCUAGAGGAAUAGCCAUUUGCCAUGCAUAGGGGUUCAUUGGAAGCAGUAUGUAUGGAAUGGAUUACUGGUAGCAGCGGAUGUUGUGACUGAUGAUUUAACUGACUCUGAGAUCAGCAAAUAUGUUGGAAAAAUCCAACAAAAGGAAGCUUGUUCUUUACUUCUUGUUGUAGAGUUGAGAAGUGGCUCUACCUCGCUGGCAUUUUCUUUCCCAAUGUAUAUGUAAUCUUAAAGAUCCUUUUGAGGUUGCUAUCAUUUGGAAAUUUUGAAGUACAAUCUCUUAUGGGAAAGAAUGAUAGUAAGUUGGUUUUGAAGGGGUAAAUUUAAAUGGCAAGACCCCUGAGCAUCUUUAUUACAUUGACUUGUGACAUGGGAUUCAUAGCCACUUGUUCUUUUCUGAUUGAAGUUUCAUGACAGGAGCAAUAAUUUAGUUUGUUAGCCGUCCAUUUUUCCAGUAAGAAAAUUGAUUGUGGUA
Molecule: unclassified non-coding RNA, 2360 nt
Filed under: Hevea brasiliensis (rubber tree)
Lineage: Eukaryota; Viridiplantae; Streptophyta; Magnoliopsida; Malpighiales; Euphorbiaceae
Source: RNAcentral